Molecule: ribosomal RNA, 2931 nt
Filed under: Klebsiella variicola
Lineage: Bacteria; Pseudomonadati; Pseudomonadota; Gammaproteobacteria; Enterobacterales; Enterobacteriaceae
Description: bacterial LSU rRNA
Rfam family: Bacterial large subunit ribosomal RNA
Source: RNAcentral
GGGUUGUGAGGUUAAGCGACUAAGCGUACACGGUGGAUGCCCUGGCAGUCAGAGGCGAUGAAGGACGUGCUAAUCUGCGAAAAGCGUCGGUAAGGUGAUAUGAACCGUUAUAACCGGCGAUGUCCGAAUGGGGAAACCCAGUGCAAUUCGUUGCACUAUCGUUAACUGAAUACAUAGGUUAACGAGGCGAACCGGGGGAACUGAAACAUCUAAGUACCCCGAGGAAAAGAAAUCAACCGAGAUUCCCCCAGUAGCGGCGAGCGAACGGGGAGCAGCCCAGAGUCUGAAUCAGCUUGUGUGUUAGUGGAACGGUCUGGAAAGUCCGACGGUACAGGGUGAUAGUCCCGUACACCAAAAUGCACAGGCUGUGAACUCGAAGAGUAGGGCGGGACACGUGGUAUCCUGUCUGAAUAUGGGGGGACCAUCCUCCAAGGCUAAAUACUCCUGACUGACCGAUAGUGAACCAGUACCGUGAGGGAAAGGCGAAAAGAACCCCGGCGAGGGGAGUGAAAAAGAACCUGAAACCGUGUACGUACAAGCAGUGGGAGCACCUUUAUGGUGUGACUGCGUACCUUUUGUAUAAUGGGUCAGCGACUUAUAUUCUGUAGCAAGGUUAACCGUAUAGGGGAGCCGCAGGGAAACCGAGUCUUAACUGGGCGUUAAGUUGCAGGGUAUAGACCCGAAACCCGGUGAUCUAGCCAUGGGCAGGUUGAAGGUUGGGUAACACUAACUGGAGGACCGAACCGACUAAUGUUGAAAAAUUAGCGGAUGACUUGUGGCUGGGGGUGAAAGGCCAAUCAAACCGGGAGAUAGCUGGUUCUCCCCGAAAGCUAUUUAGGUAGCGCCUCGUGAACUCAUCUUCGGGGGUAGAGCACUGUUUCGGCUAGGGGGUCAUCCCGACUUACCAACCCGAUGCAAACUACGAAUACCGAAGAAUGUUAUCACGGGAGACACACGGCGGGUGCUAACGUCCGUCGUGAAGAGGGAAACAACCCAGACCGCCAGCUAAGGUCCCAAAGUCAUGGUUAAGUGGGAAACGAUGUGGGAAGGCACAGACAGCCAGGAUGUUGGCUUAGAAGCAGCCAUCAUUUAAAGAAAGCGUAAUAGCUCACUGGUCGAGUCGGCCUGCGCGGAAGAUGUAACGGGGCUAAACCAUGCACCGAAGCUGCGGCAGCGACACUAUGUGUUGUUGGGUAGGGGAGCGUUCUGUAAGCCUGCGAAGGUGGCCUGUGAGGGUUGCUGGAGGUAUCAGAAGUGCGAAUGCUGACAUAAGUAACGAUAAAGCGGGUGAAAAGCCCGCUCGCCGGAAGACCAAGGGUUCCUGUCCAACGUUAAUCGGGGCAGGGUGAGUCGACCCCUAAGGCGAGGCCGAAAGGCGUAGUCGAUGGGAAACAGGUUAAUAUUCCUGUACUUGGUGUUACUGCGAAGGGGGGACGGAGAAGGCUAUGUUAGCCGGGCGACGGUUGUCCCGGUUUAAGCAUGUAGGCGGAGGUUCCAGGUAAAUCCGGUACCUUUUAACGCUGAGGUGUGAUGACGAGGCACUACGGUGCUGAAGUAACAAAUGCCCUGCUUCCAGGAAAAGCCUCUAAGCAUCAGGUAACAUCAAAUCGUACCCCAAACCGACACAGGUGGUCAGGUAGAGAAUACCAAGGCGCUUGAGAGAACUCGGGUGAAGGAACUAGGCAAAAUGGUGCCGUAACUUCGGGAGAAGGCACGCUGGUGUGUAGGUGAAGUCCCUGCGGAUGGAGCUGAGACCAGUCGAAGAUACCAGCUGGCUGCAACUGUUUAUUAAAAACACAGCACUGUGCAAACACGAAAGUGGACGUAUACGGUGUGACGCCUGCCCGGUGCCGGAAGGUUAAUUGAUGGGGUUAUCCGUAAGGAGAAGCUCUUGAUCGAAGCCCCGGUAAACGGCGGCCGUAACUAUAACGGUCCUAAGGUAGCGAAAUUCCUUGUCGGGUAAGUUCCGACCUGCACGAAUGGCGUAAUGAUGGCCAGGCUGUCUCCACCCGAGACUCAGUGAAAUUGAACUCGCUGUGAAGAUGCAGUGUACCCGCGGCAAGACGGAAAGACCCCGUGAACCUUUACUAUAGCUUGACACUGAACAUUGAGCCUUGAUGUGUAGGAUAGGUGGGAGGCUUUGAAGCGUGGACGCCAGUCUGCGUGGAGCCAACCUUGAAAUACCACCCUUUAAUGUUUGAUGUUCUAACGUUGGCCCGUAAUCCGGGUUGCGGACAGUGUCUGGUGGGUAGUUUGACUGGGGCGGUCUCCUCCCAAAGAGUAACGGAGGAGCACGAAGGUUAGCUAAUCCUGGUCGGACAUCAGGAGGUUAGUGCAAUGGCAUAAGCUAGCUUGACUGCGAGCGUGACGGCGCGAGCAGGUGCGAAAGCAGGUCAUAGUGAUCCGGUGGUUCUGAAUGGAAGGGCCAUCGCUCAACGGAUAAAAGGUACUCCGGGGAUAACAGGCUGAUACCGCCCAAGAGUUCAUAUCGACGGCGGUGUUUGGCACCUCGAUGUCGGCUCAUCACAUCCUGGGGCUGAAGUAGGUCCCAAGGGUAUGGCUGUUCGCCAUUUAAAGUGGUACGCGAGCUGGGUUUAGAACGUCGUGAGACAGUUCGGUCCCUAUCUGCCGUGGGCGCUGGAGAAUUGAGGGGGGCUGCUCCUAGUACGAGAGGACCGGAGUGGACGCAUCACUGGUGUUCGGGUUGUCAUGCCAAUGGCACUGCCCGGUAGCUAAAUGCGGAAGAGAUAAGUGCUGAAAGCAUCUAAGCACGAAACUUGCCCCAAGAUGAGUUCUCCCUGAGACUAUAAGUCUCCUGAAGGAACGUUGAAGACGACGACGUUGAUAGGCCGGGUGUGUAAGCGCAGCGAUGCGUUGAGCUAACCGGUACUAAUGAACCGUGAGGCUUAACCUUACAACGCCGAAGCUGUU